CUUCAUGUGACCACUUACAGCGUCCGGGCUAUAGGAAAUGGCGUCUUCUAUCAAAGCUGUAACAUUAUUUCGAAAAUGUCAAAAGUUUUCGAGACCUCCCACUCCUCUCUCUCUCCUUCCAACCAGCGGCGACCAUACUACAUCCAUAUAAUUCUGAACCUGAGAAAUUGGAAUACUAUCAAGACCAAGAGGAGAAGUAGAAGUGCUAUUAAACACUUCUUCCAUUUUGAAGCCUUUAAUGUAACCAACAGUAGAGCAUAACCUUUGCGGAUUAAGGAUAUGUUUGGUUCGUAUAACGUUUUUGGAAAGGGACUGAGUUGCUGAUUGGCUUGUUAAUUAUGCUCAUUCAAACCUUGCUUUUAUUUCUUCGUUGCCUUUCUCUUUAAAGUGUUUUUCUUAUACCGACAUUUGGGGAUGUAUUACCCUCCGAUGCGUGUAGAUUUCUAUUGAUCUCUUGUUUUCUAUCAAAAAAGAAUGGUCCAUUUUGAUUCCACGAUUCCCAUUCCGAGCGGAAUGGAAAUCCCCCAUUUGAGGGAAUGACCAUUCCCGACUCACCUCCCCGGAAUCAGAAUCCCAUUCCCGCUAUUUAAUAUAAGAAAAAACCAAAAUGACAAAAAAAAAAAAAAAACUCAAAUCUCUCUCUUUACUUGAAUCCAACUUUCUAACCCUCACUCCCCCUUCUCUCUUGUCACUCCCUCCACCAGCAAAAGUUUGAAGUACUGAUUUGAAUCAAAACUCCAGCGCUGAUGACGACGAGUUUUUCCGCUGCAGACUAGACCAGACCAAACCACAACAAGAUGAGAUGUUGCAGCUAGAGGAAGCCAGAAGGUUUCACAUUUCCUUGUAUUCACAGGUAAGAACUCGUACCUUAACCUAGCCUCUUUUUUAUCCAUUAGAAGGUAAGUGCAUUUGCCAUUACAGGCCUGAUGUUCCUCAUAUCCAAGCAACAGUUAUUUGUUCUAGAAAAGCAGGAAUGCAACUUAGAGUACAAAGUGGUGGCCACGACUACGAGGGAUUUUCAUAUGUAUCUGAUGUUCCAUUCGUCAUUGCUGACCUGCUAACUUUUCGAUUUAUUGAUGUUGAUAUAGAAGAUAACAGUGCAUGGAUUCAAGCUGGACCAUUUCUUGGGGAUGUUUAUUAUAGAGUUGUAGAGGUUUUUUUUUUUGUUUAUGGAUUUUUCUUUUCAUUUUUUAUGGUGGAGAAUGAUUUUUUUUUGUUUAUGUGUUUUUCUUUUUAUUUUUUUUCAUAUUUUCUACAUAUAUGCACUUGUUAGCAGGUUGCCAAUGUGUGUAUAUGUUGAAAAUAUAUAAUGAGUGGCUGUUUUUGAGGUUUUUUUAAUAAGGGCAGAAUUGAAAACUUUGGUUGAUUCCAAUUCCAGCUUCUAGUUGAACCAAACAGUAACAAUCAAAAUCAGAUUCCUAUUGCUGAGUGAACCAAAUAGGUGCUAGGAAUAGGUGAUUCCGAUUCUGAUUCCAUCCUGUCCACAAACC
Non-coding RNA from Nelumbo nucifera (sacred lotus), 1490 nucleotides. The record is from RefSeq and is a predicted model, not a curated record. NCBI's taxonomy places the organism in Eukaryota, Viridiplantae, Streptophyta, Magnoliopsida, Proteales, Nelumbonaceae.